Molecule: ribosomal RNA, 615 nt
Filed under: Staphylococcus warneri
Lineage: Bacteria; Bacillati; Bacillota; Bacilli; Caryophanales; Staphylococcaceae
Description: bacterial SSU rRNA
Rfam family: Bacterial small subunit ribosomal RNA
Source: RNAcentral
UGCUCCUUUGACGUUAGCGGCGGACGGGUGAGUAACACGUGGAUAACCUACCUAUAAGACUGGGAUAACUUCGGGAAACCGGAGCUAAUACCGGAUAACAUAUUGAACCGCAUGGUUCAAUAGUGAAAGGCGGCUUUGCUGUCACUUAUAGAUGGAUCCGCGCCGUAUUAGCUAGUUGGUAAGGUAACGGCUUACCAAGGCAACGAUACGUAGCCGACCUGAGAGGGUGAUCGGCCACACUGGAACUGAGACACGGUCCAGACUCCUACGGGAGGCAGCAGUAGGGAAUCUUCCGCAAUGGGCGAAAGCCUGACGGAGCAACGCCGCGUGAGUGAUGAAGGUCUUCGGAUCGUAAAACUCUGUUAUCAGGGAAGAACAAAUGUGUAAGUAACUGUGCACAUCUUGACGGUACCUGAUCAGAAAGCCACGGCUAACUACGUGCCAGCAGCCGCGGUAAUACGUAGGUGGCAAGCGUUAUCCGGAAUUAUUGGGCGUAAAGCGCGCGUAGGCGGUUUUUUAAGUCUGAUGUGAAAGCCCACGGCUCAACCGUGGAGGGUCAUUGGAAACUGGAAAACUUGAGUGCAGAAGAGGAAAGUGGAAUUCCAUGUGGUAAGC